RNAcentral lists this ribosomal RNA (231 nucleotides) under uncultured bacterium. Its description in RNAcentral is "partial 16S ribosomal RNA". It matches the Rfam family "Bacterial small subunit ribosomal RNA", at positions 524 to 747 of the family's 1533-position model. The record is from RNAcentral.
UACGGGGGGGGCAAGCGUUGUUCGGAAUUACUGGGCGUAAAGGGCUCGUAGGCGGCCAAUUAAGUCCGACGUGAAAUCCCCAGCUUAACCUGGGAACUGCGUCGGAUACUGGAUGGCUUGAAUUCGGGAGAGGGAUGCAGAAUUCCAGGUGUGAGGCGGUGAAAUGCGCAGAUAAUCCAGGAAGAACACCCGGUGGCGAAGGCGGCUCUCUGGGACGGGUAACUGGACGCU